UCAGGAUGAAGAAUUUUCAGGACGAGUCCAGAGUGACAAAGACGCCCUCAGAGAAGGACGAAUCAGACUCCAGCUGUCCAGACUCAGGACUGAGGACUCGGGUCUGUACCUGUGUGAGGUGGACACAGGUUAUGGCCGCGGCUCCAACAGCUGCAGAGUCACAGUCUCUGAAUCAAGACCUGGGAAGACAGAAACCACUCAGCAACCUGGAAGUCUCCAACCACCAGAGCUGAAGGAAGAGACCAAAGGAAUUUCUUUCUCAGGCCGGCUAGCAAUCGUCGGGGCUGUAUUCAUCUGUAUCUCUGAU
Molecule: non-coding RNA, 307 nt
Organism: Maylandia zebra (zebra mbuna)
Lineage: Eukaryota; Metazoa; Chordata; Actinopteri; Cichliformes; Cichlidae
Source: RefSeq, a predicted model, not a curated record